Molecule: ribosomal RNA, 427 nt
Filed under: uncultured bacterium
Lineage: Bacteria
Description: bacterial SSU rRNA
Rfam family: Bacterial small subunit ribosomal RNA
Source: RNAcentral
UGGGGAAUUUUGGACAAUGGGCGCAAGCCUGAUCCAGCAAUGCCGCGUGCAGGAUGAAGGCCUUCGGGUUGUAAACUGCUUUUGUACGGAGCGAAAAGGUCUGCCCUAAUACGGUGGGCCCAUGACGGUACCGUAAGAAUAAGCACCGGCUAACUACGUGCCAGCAGCCGCGGUAAUACGUUGGGUGCGAGCGUUAAUCGGAAUUACUGGGCGUAAAGCGUGCGCAGGCGGUUAUGCAAGACAGAGGUGAAAUCCCCGGGCUCAACCUGGGAACUGCAUUUGUGACUGUAUAGCUAGAGUACGGCAGAGGGGGAUGGAAAUCCGCGUGUAGCAGUGGAAUGCGUAGAUAUGCGGAGGAACACCGAUGGCGAAGGCAAUCCCCUGGGCCUGUACUGACGCUCAUGCACGAAAGCGUGGGGAGCAAACA